Molecule: ribosomal RNA, 253 nt
Filed under: uncultured bacterium
Lineage: Bacteria
Description: partial 16S ribosomal RNA
Rfam family: Bacterial small subunit ribosomal RNA
Source: RNAcentral
UACAGGGGGUGCAACCGUUGCUCGGAAUCAUUGGGCGUAAAGCGCACGUAGGCGGUCUGUUAUGUCGGAUGUGAAAGCCCUUGGCUUAACUGAGGAAGUGCAUCCGAAACUGGCAGGCUAGAGUACUAAAGAGGGUCGCGGAAUUCCCGGUGUAGAGGUGAAAUGCGUAGAUAUCUGGAGGAACACCGGUGGCGAAGGCGGCAUCCUGGACCGGCAUUGACGCUGAGGAGCGAAAGCCAGGGGAGCAAACGGG